UUAAAUUCAUCAUUAUCUAACACAAAUUUUAACUAUUAACCACUCAUAGCGCGCGCACACAUACACACACAAAAGCCUUGUUUUUAGUCAACAAAACACUAACAAAAAGAACCACCCCUACCAUACUCUCUCUCUCUCUCUCUCUCAUGUUAAUUUUGGUUAAGUAAGAAAAAAUCACAUCAUACCAUCACCUUCACAAACCAAUAUUCAUCAUCCAAGUUUUACAUAACCACAAAAAUCACAACACCAUUUACAAACCUUCCUUCAACCUUUAAACAUAGUCAUACCUUCAAUUCAUUCAACACCGCCACACAAAUUUUCAUUAAAAAAAUCAAGGACUUCAAAACCUUAAACCAACAUCAAGAUUAAGAAGCAAAUUCAACAACUCUGAACACAAUCAACUCAAUCCUCAAACUUCAACAACAACAAUUCCAAUGCCAAGUUCCAAAUCAUUGACAAAACAACAACCAAACAUCAUCAUAACACGACCCAACAUAACAAAAAAAAAGAAACUAAAUGCAAAGAAGAUGACAAACCC
This 538-nucleotide long non-coding RNA is filed under the name Lathyrus oleraceus (garden pea). RNAcentral's name for it is "Pisum sativum (pea) long non-coding RNA (PSAT_LNC037597)". The record is from RNAcentral. Lineage: Eukaryota; Viridiplantae; Streptophyta; Magnoliopsida; Fabales; Fabaceae.